AGCGCAUUCGGUGAAUGCCUAGGCGGUAAAAGGCGAUGAAGGACGUGACAAUCUGCGAUAUGCCUCGGGGAGCUGAUAAUAAGCUUUGAUCCGGGGAUUUCCGAAUGGGAAAACCCAGCUGUUUAUAACAGUUAUCAAAUACUAAAAGGGAAACCAUAGGUAUUUGAAGCAAACCCAGGGAACUGAAAUAUCUAAGUACCUGGAGGAAAAGAAAUCAACCGAGAUUCCCUUAGUAGCGACGAGCGAAAGGGGACCAGCCCAGAUGCAACCAUCUUAACUCACUUAACAAAACGUUCUGGAAAGUUCGGCCAUAGUAGGUGAAAGCCCUGUAUGUGAAAAGUGAAUUAAGUGUGCAUCGAAGAGUAGAGCGAGGCACGUGAAACCUUGCUUGAACAUAGGGGGACCAUCCUCUAAGGCUAAAUACUAAUUACCGACCGAUAGUGAACCAGUACCGUGAGGGAAAGGCGAAAAGAACCCCGGCGAGGGGAGUGAAAUAGAACCUGAAACCGUGUGCGUACAAGCAGUAGGAGCCCGUUUACGGGUGACUGCGUACCUUUUGUAUAAUGGGUCAGUGAGUUACUUUUAGUGGCAAGCUUAACUUUCUUAGGGAGGCGUAGGGAAACCGAGUCUUAAUAGGGCGUUUAGUCGCUAGGAGUAGACCCGAAACCAGGCGAUCUAUCCAUGACCAGGAUGAAGGUGGGGUAAUACCUACUGGAGGUCCGAACCGGGUAAUGUUGAAAAAUUAUCGGAUGAGUUGUGGAUAGGAGUGAAAGGCUAAUCAAGCCUGGAGAUAGCUGGUUCUCCCCGAAAACUAUUUAGGUAGUGCCUCAUGUAUUACUCUCGGGGGUAGAGCACUGUUUUGGCUAGGGGGACAUCCCGUCUUACCAACUCGAUGCAAACUCCGAAUACCGAGAAGUACAAUCAUGGGAGACACACAGCGGGUGCUAACGUCCGUUGUGGAAAGGGAAACAACCCAGAUCGCCAACUAAGGUCCCAAAAUUACAGCUAAGUGGGAAACGAAGUGAGAAGUCAAAGACAGCCAGGAGGUUGGCUUAGAAGCAGCCAUCCUUUAAAGAAAGCGUAAUAGCUCACUGGUCAAGCCGACUUGCGCGGAAGAUUUAACGGGGCUUAAGCUGUAUACCGAAGUUGCGAAUGCUUAUUUUUAAUAAGCGUGGUAGGGGAGCGUUCUGUAAGUCAUUGAAGGCAUAUUGUGAGAUAUGCUGGAGAUAUCAGAAGUGAGAAUGCUGACAUGAGUAACGAUAAUGCGGGUGAAAAACCCGCACGCCGAAAACCCAAGGGUUCCUGCGCAACGCUAAUCGACGCAGGGUUAGUCGGUACCUAAGGCGAGACCGAAAGGUGUAGUCGAUGGACAACAGGUUAAUAUUCCUGUACCGCGUAUACUGCGAUGGGGGGACGGAGAAGGCUAAGCUUACCGGGUGUUGGUUAUCCCGGGAAAAGUAUGUAGGUAGAGAACUUUGGAAAAUCCGGGUUCUUAUUACUGAGAUACGAGACCAUUGAUUUUUUAAUCAAGAAGUAGCUGAUGCCAUGCUUCCAAGAAAAGCCUCUAAGCUUCAGGUAUUACGUGACCGUACCCCAAACCGACACAGGUGGGUGGGAUGAGAAUUCUAAGGCGCUUGAGAAAACUCUGGUGAAGGAACUAGGCAAAUUGGUACCGUAACUUCGGAAGAAGGUACGCCUCUGUUGGUGAUUGAACUUGCUUCAUGAGCUGAUGGAGGUCUCAGAAACCAGGUGGCUGCGACUGUUUAAUAAAAACACAGCACUCUGCUAACUCGUAAGAGGAUGUAUAGGGUGUGACGCCUGCCCGGUGCCGGAAGGUUAAUUGAUCGAGUUAGCCCUUUUGGGCGAAGCCCGUGAUCGAAGCCCCGGUGAACGGCGGCCGUAACUAUAACGGUCCUAAGGUAGCGAAAUUCCUUGUCGGGUAAGUUCCGACCUGCACGAAUGGCGUAACGAUGGCCACACUGUCUCCACCAGAGACUCAGUGAAAUUGAAAUAGCUGUGAAGAUGCAGUUUAAACGCGGCAAGACGGAAAGACCCCGUGCACCUUUACUACAGCUUUACAUUGGAUUUUGAAUCUGUUUGUGCAGGAUAGGUGGGAGGCUAUGAAGCGUAUGCGUUAGCAUAUGUGGAGCCAACCUUGAGAUACCACCCUGACAUAUUUAGAGUUCUAACCUAGGUCCGUUAUCCGGAUCAGGGACAUUGUAUGGUGGGUAGUUUGACUGGGGCGGUCUCCUCCAAAAGAGUAACGGAGGAGCACGAAGGUCGGCUAAUCCUGGUCGGA
Molecule: ribosomal RNA, 2299 nt
Filed under: marine metagenome
Description: bacterial LSU rRNA
Rfam family: Bacterial large subunit ribosomal RNA
Source: RNAcentral